UAAGUUGCAGGGUAUAGACCCGAAACCCGGUGAUCUAGCCAUGGGCAGGUUGAAGGUUGGGUAACACUAACUGGAGGACCGAACCGACUAAUGUUGAAAAAUUAGCGGAUGACCUGUGGCUGGGGGUGAAAGGCCAAUCAAACCGGGAGAUAGCUGGUUCUCCCCGAAAGCUAUUUAGGUAGCGCCUCGUGAAUUCAUCUCCGGGGGUAGAGCACUGUUUCGGCUAGGGGGCCAUCCCGGCUUACCAACCCGAUGCAAACUGCGAAUACCGGAGAAUGUUAUCACGGGAGACACACGGCGGGUGCUAACGUCCGUCGUGAAGAGGGAAACAACCCAGACCGCCAGCUAAGGUCCCAAAGUCAUGGUUAAGUGGGAAACGAUGUGGGAAGGCCCAGACAGCCAGGAUGUUGGCUUAGAAGCAGCCAUCAUUUAAAGAAAGCGUAAUAGCUCACUGGUCGAGUCGGCCUGCGCGGAAGAUGUAACGGGGCUAAACCAUGCACCGAAGCUGCGGCAGCGACACUGUGUGUUGUUGGGUAGGGGAGCGUUCUGUAAGCCUGUGAAGGUGUGUCGUGAGGCAUGCUGGAGGUAUCAGAAGUGCGAAUGCUGACAUAAGUAACGAUAAAGCGGGUGAAAAGCCCGCUCGCCGGAAGACCAAGGGUUCCUGUCCAACGUUAAUCGGGGCAGGGUGAGUCGACCCCUAAGGCGAGGCCGAAAGGCGUAGUCGAUGGGAAACGGGUUAAUAUUCCCGUACUUGGUGUUACUGCGAAGGGGGGACGGAGAAGGCUAUGUUGGCCGGGCGACGGUUGUCCCGGUUUAAGCGUGUAGGUGUGUGUUCCAGGUAAAUCCGGUUCACUUUAACACUGAGGCGUGACGACGAGGCACUACGGUGCUGAAGCAACAAAUGCCCUGCUUCCAGGAAAAGCCUCUAAGCAUCAGGUAACAUCAAAUCGUACCCCAAACCGACACAGGUGGUCAGGUAGAGAAUACCAAGGCGCUUGAGAGAACUCGGGUGAAGGAACUAGGCAAAAUGGUGCCGUAACUUCGGGAGAAGGCACGCUGACACGUAGGUGAAGUGAUUUACUCAUGGAGCUGAAGUCAGUCGAAGAUACCAGCUGGCUGCAACUGUUUAUUAAAAACACAGCACUGUGCAAACACGAAAGUGGACGUAUACGGUGUGACGCCUGCCCGGUGCCGGAAGGUUAAUUGAUGGGGUCAGCGCAAGCGAAGCUCCUGAUCGAAGCCCCGGUAAACGGCGGCCGUAACUAUAACGGUCCUAAGGUAGCGAAAUUCCUUGUCGGGUAAGUUCCGACCUGCACGAAUGGCGUAAUGAUGGCCAGGCUGUCUCCACCCGAGACUCAGUGAAAUUGAACUCGCUGUGAAGAUGCAGUGUACCCGCGGCAAGACGGAAAGACCCCGUGAACCUUUACUAUAGCUUGACACUGAACAUUGAGCCUUGAUGUGUAG
Molecule: ribosomal RNA, 1464 nt
Filed under: Salmonella enterica subsp. enterica serovar Stanley
Lineage: Bacteria; Pseudomonadati; Pseudomonadota; Gammaproteobacteria; Enterobacterales; Enterobacteriaceae
Description: partial 23S ribosomal RNA
Rfam family: Bacterial large subunit ribosomal RNA
Source: RNAcentral